GGAUGUAAUCACCUAUUAUGGGUUGGCUUAAUCUAAUGAAUUUGAUUUGGUUUACCUCCAUUUUCCUGUUUAUUUCGUUAGAUACGUGACUAUGUCUGGCUAUUGGGUUUCUUGAUCACUUACACCAAAUACUUGGGCGUCCUCUCUUUCAGUCCCCUGACUGUAGAUACUGUUGUUUAUGAUUGGACGCACUGGUUAAGAUUAACAUCAAAACCACGAGCAUGAGCUUUGAACUCAGAGGUAUGAUAGAACAAGUCAGCUUAACCCGUCCUGGUGAGAUCAUAAAAAGCCAAACACUUAUCAUCAUAUGAGAGAUAUCAGGUAUGUCUUUAUCAAUCUUGGUUUGCAUAUGUUCUUUUAUUAUUAUUAGCUGUACGACUACACACACUGAGGCAUGUUUUUGUUUAUCACCUAGAGCCUUUCUAGCCAUCCCAUUAUUAUUAUAAUCCAUUGUUUACCCUGUUGAGCCUGUUAAUCAUUUAUUUUUGAUAUACCCGUUUUUUUUUCUAAAUCCUUGACCUUGUACCUAUCCUACCCUGUUGAGCCUGUAAUCAUUUAUUUUUGAUUUACCCGUUUUUUCUAAAGCCAUGACCUUGUACCUAUCCUACCCUGUUCAGAGUAUGUAAGUUUGAUUUAUUUUUGAUUUCAUUUCCACGUUUCUAUCU
Molecule: long non-coding RNA, 665 nt
Filed under: Lathyrus oleraceus (garden pea)
Lineage: Eukaryota; Viridiplantae; Streptophyta; Magnoliopsida; Fabales; Fabaceae
Description: Pisum sativum (pea) long non-coding RNA (PSAT_LNC036223)
Source: RNAcentral